UAGUUUGAGAUCAGAUACAACUCCGAGAAGCCAGCCAGCCGUUCCAUCUCCACCUGCAACAAUAAUUUUCAUUCUCUCUUCAAUUUCGGCAGCAAAGUGAUCACCAUUACCCUUGAGCCUUUCUAUAUUCAAAUACAGUCUACGUAAAACACUAUCAGGAGCUUCAUCUCCCAAAUCAAAAACCUGAUAUUUGUUAAGAAGAUGGCGAAAUGUACGAAGAAGUUCUCCUCCAAGUUGACCUCCACUUUUAGAG
RNAcentral lists this unclassified non-coding RNA (253 nucleotides) under Hevea brasiliensis (rubber tree). The record is from RNAcentral. Lineage: Eukaryota; Viridiplantae; Streptophyta; Magnoliopsida; Malpighiales; Euphorbiaceae.